This 436-nucleotide ribosomal RNA is filed under the name Lutzomyia sherlocki. RNAcentral's name for it is "eukaryotic LSU rRNA". It matches the Rfam family "Eukaryotic large subunit ribosomal RNA", at positions 2341 to 2651 of the family's 3401-position model. The record is from RNAcentral. Lineage: Eukaryota; Metazoa; Arthropoda; Insecta; Diptera; Psychodidae.
GUCCCUAUCUACUAUCUAGCGAAACCACAGCCAAGGGAACGGGCUUGGAAUCAUUAGCGGGGAAAGAAGACCCUGUUGAGCUUGACUCUAGUUUGGCACUGUAAGAAGACAUAAGAGGUGUAGCAUAAGUGGGAGAUAUCUCACCAUUUAUCACCAAUGAAAUACCACUACUUUUAUCGUUUUCUUACUUACUUGAUUGAGUGGAGAAUGGACUUUCAUUCAUUCCAUGGAUGGGGAUUUAUUUGCUGCAUGACAAUGAUGAUCUUGUGCACUUUUCUCCAACCAAGUGUCAUGAACCGUUGGUACGUUUGUACAAUUGAAAUGUCUUCACGGAUGUGGAAAUUGGAGGAUUGACAAUUAUGGUUAAGACACAAUCCAAGUCAGGGACACUGCCACGUGGGGAGUUUGACUGGGGCGGUACAUCUCUAAAAUAAUA